GGAUGAGUAACACGUGGGUAACCUGCCCAUAAGACUGGGAUAACUCCGGGAAACCGGGGCUAAUACCGGAUAACAUUUUGAACCGCAUGGUUCGAAAUUGAAAGGCGGCUUCGGGUGUCACUUAUGGAUGGACCCGCGUCGCAUUAGCUGGUUGGUGAGGUAACGGCUCACCAAUGGAACGAUGCGACGCCGACCUGACAGGGUGAUCAGCCACACUGGGACUGAUACACGGCCCAGACUCCUACGGGAGGCAACAAUGGGGAAUCUUCCGCAAUGGACGAAAGUCUGACGGAUUUCGCCCCGUGAAUGAUGAAGGCUUUCGGGUCGUAAAACUCUGUUGUUUUCUAAGAACAAGUGCUAGUUGAAUAACUGGCACCUUGACGGUACCUAACCACAAAGCCACGGCUAACUACAUGCCAACAUCCGCGGUAAUACGUAGGUGGCAAGCGUUAUCCGGAAUUAUUGGGCUUAAAGCGCGCGCAGGUGGUUUCUUAGAUCUGAUGUGAAAGCCCACGGCUCAGCCGUGAAGGGUCUUUGGAAACUGGAAGACUUGAGUGCAGAAGAGGAUAGUGGAAUUCCAUGUGUACCGAUGAAAUGCAUAGAGAUAUGGAGGAACACCUGUGGCCA
This 627-nucleotide ribosomal RNA is filed under the name Bacillus cereus. Its description in RNAcentral is "bacterial SSU rRNA". It matches the Rfam family "Bacterial small subunit ribosomal RNA", at positions 104 to 718 of the family's 1533-position model. Lineage: Bacteria; Bacillati; Bacillota; Bacilli; Caryophanales; Bacillaceae. The record is from RNAcentral.